UUCUCUGUAAAGGGGAGAACUAGGCUGCAGGUUUGUCCUCAGUUGGCUUUUUUUUGGUGACCUUAACUUCUUCUCUUGGGUUGUUUACAUACUGGGAUACACAGCCUGGAUUGUGAGAUUCAUUUGUGCAUUUACUCAUUGAAACUUGCACAAAACAUCAUGUUGGCAGGGCUGGCUUCAGUGGAGUGUGACUGGUAUAGUUGUGUGAGGCUCCAAAGCUCAGAAGGACCUUGUUCUUAGUUUAAUGCUCUGCUGUCACCAUCUUGGAAUUUUACUUUUGAACUUGUAUUUUGUCCAUGAAGCCUGAAGGGACAAUGGAAUGAAUGUAUGUAUGAGCAGAGCAGAAGAAAUUCAUGCAAUAUUUGUGUCCACCGUUGCUCAUCACUAUGUUUGCACAUAGUUUGUGAUGUUCCAUGAGUUCUGAGUUCUGAUGGACCCAGGAUGCAUCGAAGUUCAGUGAAACUCAGAGCGAGUACAAGGCAUUUCACUGGAUGCAUAAGGACCCAAAUGGAUAUUACCUACUUGGUAAACAUCUGAGGCACAUGAGAAAAACCAUCAUGCAGAUUUGUGAGGUUAGUAAUGAAUUUUGUGCAUCUAAAAAUGAAAUGAUUCAAGGAUGGCUUUGUCUUUUUUUUUAAAUGAGAUGUUGAAUUGCGCAAACAUGGAGUAUUAUGUAUGUUUUCUUACUGAACAUAGUCUGAGGGCAAAACAUCUAAGCUUGGGAAAAGCCCAAGGACAGCAGGUAAAUAAUUAUAUUCUACACUAAUUAUUGCUUUAUUUCCAUGUUUAUAAUCCAUACUUUUUGUGUAUAACUCUAAUCCAUUCAUAUGCCUUACCCUGCAGUAUUUUAUUGUAUGAAUAUGUCAAAUUUCAUUCUUUUGUAGAUGGACAUUUGGGUUGUUUCCAAUUUUAGGUUAAUACAAAAAUACUGCUGUGCACAUUUUCUCUCUAUAUAUAUGCUGAUGUUCACAUGUGUAUCUAGAGUAUAAUAUAUCUAGGAGAGGGAUUGUUGGGACAUAGGGUAAAGUGUCUUUGAUUGUCUAGAUAAUGCCAAUUUUUUUUCCAAAAUAGUCAUGUCUAUUCCUCAGCAACACUUGGUAUUGUCAGAAUUUUUAAUUUUUUCUACUUUGAAUGUACAGCGACAUCUGAUUUUUAAAGUUUAUUGGUAUUAAAUAUGGUUAUUCCUAAUUUGGGUUUCUUUUUUCAUGAAGUAUUUAAAUCUUUUGCCUGAAUAUAUUGUUAAUUAACCAAGUAAUACUAAGCAGGCCAAGUCUCAUUUUCCUCAGCUGUAGAAUGGGGUGGUAAAAUCAGUCAUUGACAUCUGAACACAAUAGUACCAACCUGGCAUUGCUGCUUCUGUCCAAGGUGAACUCCAUUUCCCUGGGAUCACCUCUUCUCCAUAUUUUUAAGUUACUGUGAAUCAAAAGAGGAUCCCAUAUAAGAUUUGGAAUGUAGAGUGAUGCAGGGUUAUCUUGGAAAAUUAGGGGAGACCAACACAGUGAUGGACAGACAUAGAGGUAUCUGAUGGUUACCAGGCUGUACCCACUCUGCUUUGCAUUCAGCUAAUUUUUUUGACUGCUGGUCCUGCUAAUCAACAGCGGUCCUAAGUGCCCCACCAGGCACUUCAUUCCAGGCCCACAAAUGUGGUAAUUUCCACAGAGGCAGAAACAUCCCCAGAGUACAAGUUUCCAUUGAAGAGGUAGAAUUGGUUGCUAACUUUCCCUAAAGUUCCCCCCUAUCUAACUGAGCUGGCUCUUCCAGAUGACCUGGUUAGUGAUUAUUUUCUAUUUGAUCCUCUUAUUGCCCCUUGCAGACCUUCAUUUGCCCGGCUCAUACCACACCUGCAUAAACUUUCAUUCCAAUAUAAAACCCCUUAUUUCUGUAAUACCUUUAGUGGCUCUAUAUCCUGAUUUAACUCUGAUUUAUACAGUAGUUUUGACAGCAAAAUAAAAUAGACAUGCACACGUUCUUCCAAAGCUCUAAAUUGCUAUUCAAAUGUAAUUAUUAGGUUGAGCUAAAUAAUGUAUUGCCAAUCUUCUUACAUAGAAGAAGAGAUUAGGUGAUAUUUAGAGUAAGCUAGCAUAGGCUGGUAUGGGCAGUGUGCUUCAUGAAAAUAUUUUAUUCUGUCAUUUGUGUAACUAGAGCAUUUAUUUGUUAUCAGGUUGAUGCCAAAAUACUCUAUCUAGCUUUCCUUUUCAACUAGAUUGCUUGGUAAGUAAGAGGCUAUAAAAUAGACUUUAGAGACAUAGAAUCUCUGAAACAUGUCAAGGGUUCUCAAUUAAUAUUUGAAGUGUAGAAUAUAGUGAAAUAUCUAGAGACACAUAUCAGGAACACCUGAAAAGAUAUAGGGAUAAUGUAAAAGUGAAUUUUAAAAAUAUGUAAAAAUCCUCUGCUACAAAUUGCCCAUUUCUCUCUGCCUCUGUGACAUAUUAAAACUGAGCCUGGCAGCGGGUCGUUUGCAAAGUUUGUCAAAGACUCAGACAUUUUUGAUAUUAUUUGUGACAGAUUUUCCCAAGUCUACUGAGCUAAUGUAUAGUUUUAUAACGAUCGCAGUUUUCUACUUAAUAGAGCAAUAAUUGGUUAGCCAAAUAGUGGAUUUCAGCAGCUGUUUUCUUAUUUAAUAGCCAGAAUAAUAGUCAUAGGGCUAUUCAACCAUUCAAGAUUUCAAAACUGACACUUCUGUGAUUAUGAGGUACCUUAGAGAAUCAUAGAAAAGACUGUAUGAACAGAAUUAUUAUAGUCAAAAUGUAGUUGGGGUGAGAGUAGGGGGAGGAAGGUGCUAAAUGGCAUAUCACUCUGGGUAGGACUCAUUAAAAAUCUUUCAAUAUCACUUACAAGCAAUAGUGUCUUUAAGUUUCUCUCUUCUCUUAAUGAUGUGCUUCUCAGCUAAUUUAGUUCUCUAUGUAACAAGACCCUAGUCUAUGCCCUCUGGGUGAUUCCAGUAUAAUUUCUGUUACCAAAAAGCCUGUGGUAAUGUAGGAGAAUAAAGAUUGACUCACUUAUAAUAACUUAUAAAAGACUUAUAGACCCAAACUAUAAGAAAGCAGAUCAAUAAGGUUAAAAUAAAUAAAUAAAUAAAUAAAUAAAUAAAUAAAAGACUUAGAGACUGACAUGAUUUGGAGACAAAUUGAAUGUUGAAAACAAAGGAGUCAAAAAUGGCUUUGAACUUGCUCGUUUGCUUUAUUUAGACAAGAAUAAUGGCCACUAAUGGAAUUAUAUUACCUAGGAGUUGAGAAAUGAGUUUCAAGUACGGAUGAUAAGUCUGACUUUGAGUAUGCUAGGACUGCAAUGAAUAUUUGCUCAAGAAGGUAUAUGGGAAUAUCCAAGUAAUUGCAAAAUUGUGCACCAAAUUCAGGAGAAAGGACAAGGUGAAAGAUAACCACUCAAGUAAUUGAUUUUUAUAUAGAAUUUGCAAUUAACAUUAGCACCAGUUUUGAGAUUAGUAGAAAAUAUCUCAUGACGGAUCAGAUAAUAAUUUUUAAUUGAAGCAAAAAUACAUGUGUGAUCUUUCAUUUUGUACCUGAAAUUUGAUACUGCUUUGCUGUUAAAGAAAAAAAAUUCUCAUAUGGCUAAUCAGAAACUGUAUAAGCUGAAGAAAAUGUGAAGAAGUGUAGGCUAAUGACCAUUGGCUGUGAUGAUUAGAAACAUUUCCAGUAGGAAGUGGAAAAAUUAAAUAAAAAGUGGACUUGGAAAGAAGUCAAUAUACCAGCAUUCAGAAUUGUUUCCCAAAAUUUUCUAAGCAAUAUUUUUGUUCUGCUUAUUUUCUUGUUGUGAGUAGAGAGUUAUGUCCUCCUCCCAAUAUGUUGAAGUCCUAACUCCCUGUGCUUAUGAAUGUGACCUUCGAUAGAAGGUCUUAGAGAUGUAAUCAAGUUAUGCUGAGGUCAUUAAUACGGACCCUGGGUCCUUAUGAAAAGAGGAAAAUACAAUAUGAAGACAGACUUACAGGGAGAACACUGUAUGAUGGUGGAGGAAGAGAUGGGGAGGGAAUUGAACCUGCAAGCAAGGGACACCAAGGGAGGCUGCUAAGAGUAUGUUUUAUUAUUUUAAUCUAUCCAGUUUCUGAUAGUUUUUUAUGGCAGCCCUGCGAAACAAAUACCUCUUGUUUUUCUCUCUCUUACUUAAUAUCAUAUCUUUACUUUAUCAGCAAAUAUUUGUAAAACAUCUGCUCUGCUUCGGUUACCCUGUUCCUCCAUUUCUCAGCUUUCUCAAUUGCCCUCUUAAGACAACUUUUGGCAUUUGGAAGAUUAAUAAUUAGGAAGAGAUGUGAACAGGGCUACUUUGCUUGAUCUUUUUUCCUCAGUACUAUUGAAGAUGUUCCCAGUAGUGUCAUCUAUUGACAAGGAAUGACACCUGUAGAUGAAUAUUUUCUGGCAUUUAUGGGUUCUUGGCUCCAAAGGUGUGCUAAAUGUGUCAAGUUUAUCUACAGAACCCUGAGAUAAAUGACAUGCUUGAUGCUAGGCUUGGAAGGCUUGUUUAUAUGAGAAGUGGUAAGUCCGAUGCUGCAAGUUACCACUAACUGGAGAUCAGCAUCAGAAGGUAUAAAAGACUUCUCAGGAGAAUGGCACAAUCUGAGAAGACCUCAGGUUCUUUAAAAAAAAAUCUUAUAAGUGAAUUGUAUUUGUGUUACAAGGAGUAAUGUACCACUACUAGACAAUGAGUAUGCUCACUGGAUGACUAAAGGUGACUAUAAAAGCUGCUGCUGUUGAUCAGGCAGUAAAGAUACACACCAUGUAUGGUUUGUUAGCUUCUUGGAUUAGUGAUGUCAGACAUACUUGCCACAAUUUCCUCCAGUAACUUAAUUCUUAUCCUGAAUUUGUUGGCUGUGAGCAUACCCCACAUUAGGGCUAACAAACUGGGUAGAAUGUAGAAAAUGCUAUCUUGAAAACAUUUCCUCUGAAAUCCGAGAGGAAUAGGAAUCAGUCUCUGAAGUGAUCCUAUAAUGAAUCGAUCAGAAAAUUUAGAAAUGAAUUAAAUGUUAUGCUUUUUGGUUAAGUCUUUCUGUGAAUGCCAUUAAGUACUCCUACUUUUCAAUUUAUGACAACAUGGGUCAAUUAUUAUGGCUUAUUAGAAGGAUGGAAAACCAAGUGAAUACAGAGAUAGAUUAUUAUCUAGGCAUUGGGAAUCCAAAUGUUGUAAGACUUACCUUUGGAAAUCACUUCAUUGAAAGCUUAUUUGAUAUCUACUCAAGUCUAUAUAUUUAGACAAUUCAAUAAUACACUGUUUCUUUCUGACAGCAUUUUGAUGAGUCAAGUCUGCCUAGUACAAUUUACUUGACAUACAAGUCUUCUCAGACCUAAAAUUACAAAGAUAUGCACCAGUACUUCAUUACACUGAAGGAAAUAUGAACUAUGAAACAUUUUUUACGUUUCUGACUUUUGAGUCUAUUGUAAUUCCUUAGAGUUGAAUACUGUAGGAACAUUUUGGUAUAACAAACCAGAUAGUAUUAAAUAAUCUAUUUUCUACAAGAAAGUAGAAGAUGUCAGUCUUGAAGGCAGAUAAAAAUUCUAAGUUCAUUUUCUUUUUUCAUUAUUAUAGUUGAUUUGCAAUGUUCUAUCAAUUUCUGCUGUACAGCAAAUUGACAUAAUAUAUAUGUAUACACACACACACACACAUAUGCAUUUUCUCAGAUUAUCAUCCAUCAUGUUCCAUCACAAAUGAUUAGAUAUAGUUCCCUAUGCCAUACAGUAGGGUUUCAUUGCUUAUCCACUCCAAGUGCAAUACUUUGCGUCUACUAACCCCAAACUUCCAAUCCAUCCCACUCCCUCCCCUUUCCUCCUUGGGAACCCCAAGUCUGCUCUUCUUGUCCAUGAUCUGUUUCUGUUUUUUGUUUCUGUUUUCUUUAGAUAGGAUCAUCUGUUCCAUAUUUUAGAUUCCACAAGUAAGCGAUAUCAUAUAGUAUUUGUCCUUUUCUUUCUGGCUUACUUCACUUAGUAUGAUAGUCUCUAGGUCCAUCCAUGUUGCUGCAAAUGGCAUUAGUUUGACUUUUUUAUGGCUGAGUAAUAUUCCAUUGUAUAUAUGUACCACAUCUUCUUAAUCCAUUCAUUUGUUGAUGGACAUGACAACUGUAUGUAAGAGAAUGAAAUUAGAACAUUUUCUAACACUAUACACAAAAAUAAACUCGAAAUGGAUUAAAGACCUAAAUAUAAGGCCAGAUACUAUAAAACUCCUAGAGGAAAACAUAGGCAGAAUGCUCUUUGACAUAAAUCACAGCAACAUCUUGUUUGACUCAUCUCCUAGAAUAAAGCCAGUAAAAACACAAAUAAACCAAUGGGACCUAAUUAAACUCAAAAGCUUCUGCACAGCAAAGGAAACCAUUAAAAAAUGAAAAGACAAACCACAGAAUGGGAGAAACCCUUUGCAGAUGACUCAACCAAAGAAGGUUUUAUCUCCAAAAUAUGCAAACAACUCAUAUAAUUCAACAGCAAAAAAAAAAAAA
This 6436-nucleotide long non-coding RNA is filed under the name Sus scrofa (pig). Its description in RNAcentral is "lncRNA (ENSSSCG00025039976.1)". Lineage: Eukaryota; Metazoa; Chordata; Mammalia; Artiodactyla; Suidae. The record is from RNAcentral.